Molecule: long non-coding RNA, 384 nt
Organism: Mastomys coucha (southern multimammate mouse)
Lineage: Eukaryota; Metazoa; Chordata; Mammalia; Rodentia; Muridae
Exons: 3
Source: RefSeq, a predicted model, not a curated record
AAGCAAUUUGGGGUCUCUUCUCUCAAUAUUGGCUCACACUAUGAUCUGCAUGUUUUUUGAAAUGCACUUUGAUGGAGCCCAACCUCUAUGUCUACCCAGAGCAGUGACUCUUUUACAUUGCCUAGACUGUGGUAUUUGCUUCUGACCCUGAGGAUCAUAAUAAAACAAAUCCCUUAGGCUAAAGAUAAAAGAUCCCAGAAGAAAGUCCAGGCCAUCAGGAAGAAGAGAACGCCUAAGUCUCAACACUAAUGAGUAGAAAAUACAUGCCUACUUGCUUCGUUAAAAGAGUGUGUUACUCACAGAAGUAAAAAUGUGAACUUAUGACACGGGUAGAAACAUGUCCAAAUUCAAUAUUAAACGGUAUGAACAACAAAAAUAUAGAAA